CCUACGGGAGGCAGCAGUGAGGAAUAUUGGUCAAUGGGCGAGAGCCUGAACCAGCCAAGUCGCGUGAAGGAUGACGGCCCUACGGGUUGUAAACUUCUUUUGUCAGGGAGCAAUUGAGUCCACGUGUGGGCUUAGCGAGAGUACCUGAAGAAAAAGCAUCGGAUAACUCCGUGCCAGCAGCCGCGGUAAUACGGAGGUUGCGAGCGUUAUCCGGAUUUAUUGGGGUUAAAGGGUGCGUAGGCGGAAUAUCAAGUCAGCGGGAAAAAUUCGGGGCUCAACCCCGUCGGUCCGUUGAAACUGAUGUUCUUGAGUGGGCGAGAAGUAUGCGGCAUGAGUGGUGUAGCGGUGAGAUGCAUAGAUAUAACGCAGAACUCCGAUUGCGAAGGCAGCAUACCGGCGCCCAACUGACGCUGAAGCACGAAAGCGUGGGUAUCGAACAGGAUUAGAUACCCCUGUAGUC
RNAcentral lists this ribosomal RNA (460 nucleotides) under uncultured bacterium. Its description in RNAcentral is "partial 16S ribosomal RNA". It matches the Rfam family "Bacterial small subunit ribosomal RNA", at positions 338 to 795 of the family's 1533-position model. The record is from RNAcentral.